This 867-nucleotide ribosomal RNA is filed under the name uncultured organism. RNAcentral describes it as "SSU rRNA". It matches the Rfam family "Bacterial small subunit ribosomal RNA", at positions 50 to 908 of the family's 1533-position model. The record is from RNAcentral.
AACACAUGCAAGUCGAGGGGCAGCAUUCCUGUUUGCUUGCAAACUGGAGAUGGCGACCGGCGCACGGGUGAGUAACACGUAUCCAACCUGCCGAUAACUCGGGGAUAGCCUUUCGAAAGAAAGAUUAAUACCCGAUGGUAUAAUUAGACCGCAUGGUCUUGUUAUUAAAGAAUUUCGGUUAUCGAUGGGGAUGCGUUCCAUUAGGCAGUUGGUGAGGUAACGGCUCACCAAACCUUCGAUGGAUAGGGGUUCUGAGAGGAAGGUCCCCCACAUUGGAACUGAGACACGGUCCAAACUCCUACGGGAGGCAGCAGUGAGGAAUAUUGGUCAAUGGGCGCAGGCCUGAACCAGCCAAGUAGCGUGAAGGAUGACUGCCCUAUGGGUUGUAAACUUCUUUUAUAUGGGAAUAAGGUUUUCCACGUGUGGAAUUUUGUAUGUACCAUAUGAAUAAGGAUCGGCUAACUCCGUGCCAGCAGCCGCGGUAAUACGGAGGAUCCGAGCGUUAUCCGGAUUUAUUGGGUUUAAAGGGAGCGUAGGUGGACAGUUAAGUCAGUUGUGAAAGUUUGCGGCUCAACCGUAAAAUUGCAGUCGAUACUGGCUGUCUUGAGUACAGUAGAGGUGGGCGGAAUUCGUGGUGUAGCGGUGAAAUGCUUAGAUAUCACGAAGAACUCCGAUUGCGAAGGCAGCUCACUGGACUGCAACUGACACUGAUGCUCGAAAGUGUGGGUAUCAAACAGGAUUAGAUACCCUGGUAGUCCACACAGUAAACGAUGAAUACUCGCUGUUUGCGAUAUACAGUAAGCGGCCCAGCGAAAGCAUUAAGUAUUCCACCUGGGGAGUACGCCGGCAACGGUGAAACUCAAAAGA